GACGAACGCUGGCGGCGUGCUUAACACAUGCAAGUCGAACGGAAAGGCCUGCUUUCCCUUGUGGAUUGCGGGUACUCGAGUGGCGAACGGGUGAGUAACACGUGAGGGAUCUGCCCCCAACUUGGGUAUAAGCCUGGGAAACUGGGUCUAAUUCCCGAUAGGACUGCAGGGUGGUGCCUGUGGUGGAAAACGAUUUUCUAGUGGUUGGGGAUGAGCUCGCGGCCUAUCAGCUUGUUGGUGGGGUAAUGGCCUACCAAGGCGGCGACGGGUAGCCGGCCUGAGAGGGUGGACGGCCACAUUGGGACUGAGCUACGGCCCAGACUCCUACGGGAGGCAGCAGUGGGGAAUAUUGCACAAUGGGCGGAAGCCUGAUGCAGCGACGCCGCGUGGGGGAUGACGGCCUUCGGGUUGUAAACUCCUUUCGACCGCGAGGAAGCCACCUGGUUGGAAGGGUGGUGACGGUAGUGGUAGAAGAAGCACCGGCUAACUACGUG
Molecule: ribosomal RNA, 494 nt
Filed under: uncultured bacterium
Lineage: Bacteria
Description: partial 16S ribosomal RNA
Rfam family: Bacterial small subunit ribosomal RNA
Source: RNAcentral